UAUUUAAAAUGUAAAUUUUUUGCCAGGUUAGUAUUAGUUAUUUUCUUGAAAACAAAAAAAUUUGGCGGUAUUUUAGUCUUUUCAGAGGAACCUGCCCUGUAAUUGAUAGUCCACGAUUAUUUUUACUUGUAUUUAUGGCUUGUAUAUCGUCGUGGUUGAUUUUUUUAUUAGAAUACUAAUAGUCAAUUUUCUUUAUUAGGAAUGAAAUCAGAUCAAGAUGCAGUUAUAUACAAGGAGAGGUGGGUUACAAUAAGUUUACUUAAAUGGUUAAGAUUUUUAAAUAUUUCUUAUAAAGUGGAUUUGAUAGU
This 308-nucleotide ribosomal RNA is filed under the name Agrilus viridis. RNAcentral's name for it is "partial 12S ribosomal RNA". Lineage: Eukaryota; Metazoa; Arthropoda; Insecta; Coleoptera; Buprestidae. The record is from RNAcentral.